This 72-nucleotide transfer RNA is filed under the name Coemansia javaensis. It matches the Rfam family "tRNA". From Rfam's summary of the family: Transfer RNA (tRNA) molecules are approximately 80 nucleotides in length. Their secondary structure includes four short double-helical elements and three loops (D, anti-codon, and T loops). Lineage: Eukaryota; Fungi; Kickxellomycota; Kickxellomycetes; Kickxellales; Kickxellaceae. The record is from Rfam by way of RNAcentral.
GGCUCAGUGGUCUAGUAGCAUGAUUCUUCGUUCGGGUCGAAGAGGUCCCGGGUUCAAUUCCCGGCUGAGCCC